AAUAGAUACCCGGGUAGUCCACGCCGUAAACGAUGAGUGCUAAGUGUUAGAGGGUUUCCGCCCCUUUAGUGCUGCAGCAAACGCAUUAAGCACUCCGCCUGGGGAGUACGGCCGCAAGGCUGAAAACUCAAAGGAAUUGACGGGGGGCCCGCACAAGCGGUGGAGCAUGUGGUUUAAUUCGAAGCAACGCGAAGAACCUUACCAGGUCUUGACAUCCUCUGACACUCCUAGAGAUAGGACGUUCCCCUUCGGGGGACAGAGUGACAGGUGGUGCAUGGUUGUCGUCAGCUCGUGUCGUGAGAUGUUGGGUUAAGUCCCGCAACGAGCGCAACCCUUGAUCUUAGUUGCCAGCAUUAAGUUGGGCACUCUAAGGUGACUGCCGGUGACAAACCGGAGGAAGGUGGGGAUGACGUCAAAUCAUCAUGCCCCUUAUGACCUGGGCUACACACGUGCUACAAUGGAUGGUACAAAGGGCAGCAAAACCGCGAGGUCGAGCAAAUCCCAUAAAACCAUUCUCAGUUCGGAUUGUAGGCUGCUAACC
Molecule: ribosomal RNA, 541 nt
Filed under: uncultured bacterium
Lineage: Bacteria
Description: bacterial SSU rRNA
Rfam family: Bacterial small subunit ribosomal RNA
Source: RNAcentral